GGGGUCGUGGCCAAAUGGCAAGGCGCUGGUCUUGCAAACCAGUAAUUGCGAGUUCGAUUCCCGCCGGCUCCA
RNAcentral lists this transfer RNA (72 nucleotides) under Chloracidobacterium sp. Its description in RNAcentral is "tRNA-Ala". It matches the Rfam family "tRNA". Rfam says of the family: Transfer RNA (tRNA) molecules are approximately 80 nucleotides in length. Their secondary structure includes four short double-helical elements and three loops (D, anti-codon, and T loops). The record is from RNAcentral. Lineage: Bacteria; Pseudomonadati; Acidobacteriota; Blastocatellia; Chloracidobacteriales; Chloracidobacteriaceae.